AAGCCAAGUCCAACUCAUUCCAACUCACAACUCAAUAAGCCGGCUUAUUGAGUCGACGGCUUACUUGAGGUCAACUCAACUCAGCUUGACUCAACUCAACUCAAUAAGCCGAUUCAAGCCAAGCCGAGUUGGCAACUCUACCCCAGGGUGACCACCCAAGAUAAUCACCAGGAUCACUACCAUCAGACAACCACUCCCAGAUAACCACAAUCCGAAAUUUAGCUUUUUGAAUUUGUUUUACUUUUAAUUUCUAGCCAUUUGAAGUUUUACUUUCUUUACUUUCACUUCCGUUGCGGUCCAUUUGAUUUUGCUUCCGUUUCCGACAGACAUUUCCAGCUUAUAAUAUAGAUAAUUAUCACAGAUGACGACGUACUGAAAAAUGUGGCUAAAAUUUUCGCCCCUUAUCAAGAACUUGUAUUACACGGGCUUGGCAUCUGUUCUAUGGAUCCCGUCCUUCUAAUUAAAACAGUUAAAACCUUGCACCACUUGGGCUCUGUCACGUAUCCAAAUUUUUAUAAAGGAAUUACCCCUACCCAAUUGAUCUCUACUUUUCGCAAAGCAAAAUUAUUGCGAAUUAUAAAACAUUUCGGGGACGAUGGGAAACUUUCACUCAUUUUUCUAUUCGAGCAAACUGGGAUCCAACACGAAUUCCUAAUCCUGAAAUGCGAAUAAUAUUCGCAUUUUACUUGUACGCCGCGCUGAAAAUUGGCCAUCGCGACCCGAGAUGUUCUGCAAAAUCACGCAGCGAACCUCCCACUUUACUGCACAUUUUUGAUACUAAAGGGUUCUCCACUUCACACGCGAAAAUAUUCAGCUUCAGAGAGACCUUAAUCAGUAUCAGGCUGUAUAAUGCACUGCCCAAAAAUGUGACAAAAUGCGUGAUUUUUAGAAAUAGCGGAAUCAUGUUUGAGAAAACUUACUCCUUUGUUAAGUGGCUACUUCCGUAUGAUAUGCGAAAAAUGAUUCACGUAUGUUCGGACGACAUUUCGCCCAUAUUUGAACACGUGCCGGUGGAAGGCGUUCCAAAAGCGGUGGGCGGUCUGGCUGAAAAUGAUGAAGUAUUCUUAGCCGAUCUGGAAAAAGAGUUGGAUGCAGACGGUGGCCUGCAUACCCUGCUAAACAUGAUUUUUGAUAGAUCGUAAUAUUCGAAAUUCGCACAUUCGAUUUUUCAAAAACAUUCGCAUGGUGAAUGUUACCGAGAUUAACAAUAACUGUCAUUAUCAUGUACUUGCGAAAGAUCGCUCAAAUAUGGGUUUAAUAUUUACAAAAAAAUGCCAACAUGUUUAAGAAAUAUUUAUAUAAAUACAUACAUACGUAUGUAUGAACAAAACUAUAAAAAUAAGAAUUUUCGA
Molecule: long non-coding RNA, 1352 nt
Organism: Folsomia candida
Lineage: Eukaryota; Metazoa; Arthropoda; Collembola; Entomobryomorpha; Isotomidae
Exons: 4
Source: RefSeq, a predicted model, not a curated record